GCAUAGCUGUAAACUUUGAUGCAUAAUUACAAUGUCAUUCGCCAGGGUACUACGAGCACCAGCUUAAAACCCAAAGGACUUGGCGGUGCUUUAGACCCACCUAGAGGAGCCUGUUCUAGAACCGAUAACCCCCGUUAAACCUCACCCUCUCUUGUUCUUUCCGCCUAUAUACCGCCGUCGUCAGCUUACCCUCUGAAGGACAAAUAGUAAGCAAAACCAGUAAUACUCAAAACGUCAGGUCGAGGUGUAGCAUAUGAGAGGGGAAGAAAUGGGCUACAUUCCUUGCUUCAAGGAAAACGGAUAAUAUAAUGAAACGUAUAUUAGAAGGAGGAUUUAGCAGUAAGCAGUAAAUAGAGAGUUCUGCUGAAACUGGCCCUGAAGCGCGC
Molecule: ribosomal RNA, 386 nt
Filed under: Oryzias latipes (Japanese medaka)
Lineage: Eukaryota; Metazoa; Chordata; Actinopteri; Beloniformes; Adrianichthyidae
Description: partial 12S ribosomal RNA
Rfam family: Bacterial small subunit ribosomal RNA
Source: RNAcentral